This 430-nucleotide ribosomal RNA is filed under the name Pseudomonadota bacterium. RNAcentral's name for it is "Proteobacteria bacterium partial 16S ribosomal RNA". It matches the Rfam family "Bacterial small subunit ribosomal RNA", at positions 355 to 776 of the family's 1533-position model. Lineage: Bacteria; Pseudomonadati; Pseudomonadota. The record is from RNAcentral.
UGGGGAAUAUUGGACAAUGGGGGGAACCCUGAUCCAGCCAUGCCGCGUGUGUGAAGAAGGCCUUAUGGUUGUAAAGCACUUUAAGCGAGGAGGAGGGUACUGGUAUUAAUACUACCAGGUACUGGACGUUACUCGCAGAAUAAGCACCGGCUAACUCUGUGCCAGCAGCCGCGGUAAUACAGAGGGUGCGAGCGUUAAUCGGAUUUACUGGGCGUAAAGCGUGCGUAGGCGGCUAAUUGAGUCGGAUGUGAAAUCCCCGAGCUUAACUUGGGAAUUGCAUUCGAUACUGGUUAGCUAGAGUGUGGGAGAGGAUGGUAGAAUUCCACGUGUAGCGGUGAAAUGCGUAGAGAUCUGGAGGAAUACCGAUGGCGAAGGCAGCCAUCUGGCCUAACACUGACGCUGAGGUACGAAAGCAUGGGGAGCAAACAGG